UACAGAGGGUGCGAGCGUUGUCCGGAAUCACUGGGCGUAAAGGGCGCGUAGGCGGCGGGAGAAGUCUGUGGUGAAAGCUCGUGGCUCAACUACGAGUCGGCCAUAGAUACUCGUUCGCUCGAGCACUGUAGAGGCAGAUGGAAUUCCGGGUGUAGCGGUGGAAUGCGUAGAGAUCCGGAAGAACACCGGUGGCGAAGGCGGUCUGCUGGGCAGUAGCUGACGCUGAGGCGCGACAGCGUGGGGAGCAAACAGG
This 253-nucleotide ribosomal RNA is filed under the name uncultured bacterium. Its description in RNAcentral is "partial 16S ribosomal RNA". It matches the Rfam family "Bacterial small subunit ribosomal RNA", at positions 524 to 776 of the family's 1533-position model. The record is from RNAcentral.